ACGGCGAGUGAACCGAGGAAGAGCUCAAAUUUGAAAUCUGGCGUGCUCAGUGCGUCCGAGUUGUAAUCUAUAGAGUCGUUUUCCGUGCCGGACUGUGUCCAAGUCCCUUGGAACAGGGUAUCAAAGAGGGUGAUAAUCCCGUACUUGACACAAUGACCGGUGCUCUGUGAUACGUCUUCUACGAGUCGAGUUGUUUGGGAAUGCAGCUCAAAAUGGGUGGUGAGUUCCAUCUAAAGCUAAAUAUUGGCGAGAGACCGAUAGCGAACAAGUACCGUGAGGGAAAGAUGAAAAGCACUUUGGAAAGAGAGUUAAACAGUACGUGAAAUUGUUAAAAGGGAAACGAUUGAAGUCAGUCGUGACUGAGAGGCUCAGCCGGUUCUGCCGGUGUAUUCCCCUCAGUCGGGUCAACAUCAGUUUUGUUCGGUGGAUAAGGGCAGUUGGAAGGUGGCACCCUCGGGUGUGUUAUAGCCAGCUGUCGCAUACAUCGGAUGAGACUGAGGAAUGCAGCUCGCCUUUAUGGCCGGGGUUCGCCCACGUUCGAGCUUAGGAUGUUGACAUAAUGGCUUUAAACGAC
RNAcentral lists this ribosomal RNA (574 nucleotides) under Papiliotrema flavescens. RNAcentral describes it as "partial large subunit ribosomal RNA". It matches the Rfam family "Eukaryotic large subunit ribosomal RNA", at positions 86 to 648 of the family's 3401-position model. The record is from RNAcentral. Lineage: Eukaryota; Fungi; Basidiomycota; Tremellomycetes; Tremellales; Rhynchogastremaceae.